This is a non-coding RNA of Nematostella vectensis (starlet sea anemone), 68 nucleotides long. Lineage: Eukaryota; Metazoa; Cnidaria; Anthozoa; Actiniaria; Edwardsiidae. The record is from Rfam.
CAUAAUCAACAAGAGUGUCAACCUGCCACGAAGGUCUAUGAGUGGUCUGCUGCUCCUCUUCGUGGAGC